AUGAACGUUGGCGGCGUGGAUUAGGCAUGCAAGUCGAACGGGCCGCAAGGCCAGUGGCGAAAGGGAGAGGAAUACGUAGAUACCCACCCUCAGGUCCAGGAUAGCCGCGGGAAACUGCGGGUAAUACUGGAUAAUAUCUCCGGAUCAAAGGUGUGAUUCCGCCGGAGGACGGGUCUGCGUCCUAUCAGCUAGUUGGUGAGGUAAUGGCUCACCAAGGCUAUAACGGGUACUGGGUGUGAGAGCACGACCCAGCUCACUGGGACUGAGAUACGGCCCAGACACCUACGGGUGGCUGCAGUCGAGAAUCUUCGGCAAUGGGCGCAAGCCUGACCGAGCGACGCCGCGUGUGGGAUGAAGGCCUUCGGGUUGUAAACCACUGUCGGGGGGGAUGAAAUACUUAAGAGUUAUCUCUUAGGCUUGACAUAUCCUCGGAGGAAGGACGGGCUAAGUUCGU
This 454-nucleotide ribosomal RNA is filed under the name uncultured bacterium. RNAcentral describes it as "bacterial SSU rRNA". It matches the Rfam family "Bacterial small subunit ribosomal RNA", at positions 29 to 506 of the family's 1533-position model. The record is from RNAcentral.